GUCAACAUUCGUGAUAUUAUUUCUUUUUGAAAUUUUAACAGCAAUAGUCAGUUAUUAAACUGCUUUUUGCCAAAGCCCAUGCAGCGUACGGUGACACUAAAUUAAACUGGACAAGCUUUAUUUAUGCUGGAUUACUCUAUCAGUGUUUUCCCGGAAUUCCUUUAGGUAAUAUACCAUGAUCGACACGAGCUCAACAUUGAGUUGGAGGAGCGGCGGCUUAAGAAGUGCAAUAUGAUUCGACUUGGAGUUUAUCAUUAAAACUAUGCGAAUUUUGUAAAUGGGAGAAAAUUGUCUCAACCACUUAUAUCCAAAUAUUGUACGUAGCUCUUUCAAUGCUAAAUUUUGUUCUCAUCUAUAUUGGUUCGAGUGUACGUGUGUGGUUGAGUAAACAACUUUCAAAGAAAUCUCAUAAACUGUACGUGAAAGGCAAACAUAUAAAA
Paramuricea clavata is the source of this 440-nucleotide non-coding RNA. Lineage: Eukaryota; Metazoa; Cnidaria; Anthozoa; Malacalcyonacea; Plexauridae. The record is from the annotation of a GenBank genome assembly.